GGCCCGUUCUAAAGCGGACGUCCGCACUUCGCUAAAGUGCGGACAGCGACGCAGCGGAGGCUAUCUAGGCGGCGACGGCGGCGCGCGGCUUGCAGGAGGGAGGCCGGAGGCAUCUCGGACGGUUCUGGGCAGCGUUCAAGGUCAGAGGAGGUCAGGGUUGCAGGUUCUGGGCAGCAACCUGACCUGCAACUGCAGGUUUUCUGGGCGGCGCUGCAACGACGUCACCAGCGACUUCCCCGACUGCAGACCUCUCUGCGCGACCCCUGGUAUCCUUCCGGCAGCCCCCGCAGCUCCGUCGGGCCCCGAGCCGAGCUGCAACGUCGCCGUCCGCACUUUAGCGAAAGUGCGGACGUCCUCUUUGGAACGGCUCCG
RNAcentral lists this long non-coding RNA (372 nucleotides) under Rosa chinensis. RNAcentral's name for it is "sRNA RchiOBHm_Chr4g0416441". The record is from RNAcentral. Lineage: Eukaryota; Viridiplantae; Streptophyta; Magnoliopsida; Rosales; Rosaceae.